CAGUAGCCGCGGGAAAACGGAGGGUGCAAGCGUUAAUCGGAAUUACUGGGCGUAAAGCGCACGCAGGCGGUCUGACAAGUCAGAUGUGAAAUCCCCGGGCUUAACCUGGGAACUGCAUUUGAAACUGUCAGGCUGGAGUCUUGUAGAGGGGGGUGGAAUUCCAGGUGUAGCGGUGAAAUGCGUAGAGAUCUGUAGGAAUACCGGUGGCGAAGGCGGCCCCCUGGACAAAGACUGACGCUCAGGUGCGAAAGCGUGGGGAGCAAACAGGAUUAGAUACCCCUGUAGUCCCUGUCUCUUAUAC
Molecule: ribosomal RNA, 301 nt
Filed under: uncultured bacterium
Lineage: Bacteria
Description: partial 16S ribosomal RNA
Rfam family: Bacterial small subunit ribosomal RNA
Source: RNAcentral